CAGGCAGAGAUAACCGCUGAAUGCAUCUAAGUGGGAAACUCGCCACAAGAUUAGAUCCCUGUUUUCCCGUAAGGGAGUAAGAUCACAGGUAGACUACCUGUUUGAUAGGCAGAAUGUGUAAGCGCAGCAAUGCGUUGAGCUAAUCUGUACUAAUGAUCGAGGGCUUCUUCAU
RNAcentral lists this ribosomal RNA (172 nucleotides) under Anaerolineaceae bacterium. RNAcentral describes it as "partial 23S ribosomal RNA". It matches the Rfam family "Bacterial large subunit ribosomal RNA", at positions 2755 to 2925 of the family's 2925-position model. The record is from RNAcentral. Lineage: Bacteria; Bacillati; Chloroflexota; Anaerolineae; Anaerolineales; Anaerolineaceae.